Molecule: non-coding RNA, 685 nt
Organism: Misgurnus anguillicaudatus (oriental weatherfish)
Lineage: Eukaryota; Metazoa; Chordata; Actinopteri; Cypriniformes; Cobitidae
Source: the annotation of a RefSeq genome assembly
AAAAGAAAUAGAACUGCACAAGGCAACAUUAAAUACAAACAUAUGUAAUUUUAGGUUCAUCAGAAAAUAAUGCAAAAUCAAAAUUUUUGGUUACAAAUAACUUCUCAAAUUAUCUUAUCUAAAAGGGCACUGUCCUCUUUACUAACAACAACAGAUAACAAAUACAAUUAAAUAGAUUAAAAAGCAAAGGUACUUGUAAACAUUUUUAUGGCUGUAUGCAAAUUUUCCACCUGCUCUUUGUACAAAAGUGAAGUCUGUGGGUCUGUAAGCGAAAGUCGAAUUCAGCUUAAUAACAAACAUGAUCUUUUCAUCGGCUCUACUACUGCUGGCAGCAGCUGCUUCCUGUGGGGUUUUCUGUGUUGAGCUCACUCAACCUCCAGCUAUGAUUGUAAAACCUCAAGAAUCUUUCUCCAUCUCCUGCACAAUAACUGAAUCAAGCUACUGCAUUCACUGGAUAAGACAACCAGCUGGAAAAGCACUGGAGUGGCUUGGAAGGAUCUGUAGUGGUGGUGACAUUAUAAUUAAAGAUUCAGUUAAAAACAAGAUCAGUUUUACACAGGACACUUCAAAAAACACAGUGUUUUUACAAGGAAGAAAUGUUCAGGCUGAGGACACAGCUGUGUAUUACUGUGCAAGACAAUCACAGUGACAAAACAAACCACAGCUCAGUGCAAAAACAUCUCAU